RNAcentral lists this ribosomal RNA (254 nucleotides) under uncultured bacterium. RNAcentral's name for it is "partial 16S ribosomal RNA". It matches the Rfam family "Bacterial small subunit ribosomal RNA", at positions 524 to 776 of the family's 1533-position model. The record is from RNAcentral.
CACGUAGGGGGCAAGCGUUGUCCGGAUUUAUUGGGCGUAAAGAGCUCGUAGGUGGUUCGGUAAGUCGGGUGUUAAACCCCCAGGCUCAACCUGGGGACGCCACUCGAUACUGCUGUGACUUGAGUCCAGUAGGGGAGCGUGGAAUUCCUGGUGUAGCGGUGAAAUGCGCAGAUAUCAGGAGGAACACCGGUGGCGAAGGCGGGUCUCUGGGCCGAUACUGACGCUGAGGAGCGAAAGCGUGGGGAGCGAACAGG